This is a non-coding RNA of Trametes polyzona, 78 nucleotides long. Lineage: Eukaryota; Fungi; Basidiomycota; Agaricomycetes; Polyporales; Polyporaceae. The record is from the annotation of a GenBank genome assembly.
GGUUCAGUGGUGUAGUGGUUAUCACUCCUGUCUUACAUGGUGCACAGGCGGUCGUCGGUUCGAGCCCGGCCUGAAUCA